This 424-nucleotide ribosomal RNA is filed under the name uncultured bacterium. RNAcentral describes it as "partial 16S ribosomal RNA". It matches the Rfam family "Bacterial small subunit ribosomal RNA", at positions 354 to 795 of the family's 1533-position model. The record is from RNAcentral.
GUGGGGAAUCUUGCGCAAUGGGCGAAAGCCUGACGCAGCCAUGCCGCGUGGAUGAUGACGGUCUUAGGAUUGUAAAAUUCUUUCACCGGGGACGAUAAUGACGGUACCCGGAGAAGAAGCUCCGGCUAACUUCGUGCCAGCAGCCGCGGUAAUACGAAGGGGGCUAGCGUUGCUCGGAAUUACUGGGCGUAAAGGGCGCGUAGGCGGACAGCUUAGUCAGAGGUGAAAGCCCAGGGCUCAACCAUGGAAUUGCCUUUGAUACUGGCUGUCUUGAGUUUGGGAGAGGUGAGUGGAACUCCGAGUGUAGAGGUGAAAUUCGUAGAUAUUCGGAAGAACACCAGUGGCGAAGGCGACUCACUGGCCCAAUACUGACGCUGAGGCGCGAAAGCGUGGGGAGCAAACAGGAUUAGAUACCCUAGUAGUC